GAUGGUUUGGGAGAGUGGUUAAUCCGCUGCCUUUAGGAAUGGUUUAAACGGCAGUGCCGUCGGCGCGCGAGUUCGAAUCUCGUAACCAUCA
Molecule: transfer RNA, 91 nt
Organism: Dacryopinax sp.
Lineage: Eukaryota; Fungi; Basidiomycota; Dacrymycetes; Dacrymycetales; Dacrymycetaceae
Rfam family: tRNA
About the family: Transfer RNA (tRNA) molecules are approximately 80 nucleotides in length. Their secondary structure includes four short double-helical elements and three loops (D, anti-codon, and T loops).
Source: Rfam